RNAcentral lists this non-coding RNA (27 nucleotides) under Bos taurus (domestic cattle). The record is from RNAcentral. RNAcentral also lists the same sequence under 1 other name. Lineage: Eukaryota; Metazoa; Chordata; Mammalia; Artiodactyla; Bovidae.
UCAGUCUCAUAAUCUGAAGGUCGUGAG